Long non-coding RNA from Salvia miltiorrhiza (redroot sage), 352 nucleotides. RefSeq lists it as uncharacterized. The transcript is spliced from 4 exons. The record is from RefSeq and is a predicted model, not a curated record. NCBI's taxonomy places the organism in Eukaryota, Viridiplantae, Streptophyta, Magnoliopsida, Lamiales, Lamiaceae.
UUUUAACUCUCUUUUUUAUCUCAUUCCUAUUUAAGAUUAAAAUUUAAACGAAAAGAAAUAAGUGAAAGAAAGUGAAUUCAUAUUUGUGAGCUCCUCCACCGCUGCGAUAACAAUAAUGCGGUCUCUCUGAAUGAUUUCUCAGCUUCAUCACAAGAUGGAUUUAUUCAGGAAAGCAAUUCUGAAUCCAGGGCCGCCUGAAGAUUUCGCGCUCCAGACUGUGCAGCAAGUUAUAAAACCCCAGAAGCAGGUGAAACUCGUUCAAGAUGAAAAUAUGUUGUUGGAAAAUAUUCUGCGGACUUUGCUUCAAGAAUUGGUGUCAGCUGCAGUUCAGUCAGGUGAGGCAACUAUGCAU